GGUCUAAGGGGCACUUAUGCCUAUAUGCUUUAUGAGCUACUUUUGAUAGCAGAGCACUCAGCAGAUGAGUCACUUAUUUAGUGAUGAAUACUCCUACUUCUCACUUGUAUGCCAUACCAGUGUCUCUAUACUCUUUGGUUAAGAAGACAACCAAUCUAUAUGGCACACAAUGACCUUCACUCGAUAAACAUCAUCAUCCUUUAAUGACGUAUCAUUU
This 217-nucleotide long non-coding RNA is filed under the name Elaeis guineensis (African oil palm). RNAcentral's name for it is "long non-coding RNA (EGUI_LNC059562)". The record is from RNAcentral. Lineage: Eukaryota; Viridiplantae; Streptophyta; Magnoliopsida; Arecales; Arecaceae.